Molecule: transfer RNA, 68 nt
Filed under: Eclysippe vanelli
Lineage: Eukaryota; Metazoa; Annelida; Polychaeta; Terebellida; Ampharetidae
Description: tRNA-Ser
Source: RNAcentral
AAAAUAUUCUGGUGAUGCGAGAGUUUUCUAAACUUGUUAGCAGAGAGGUUCGAUUCCUUUUUAUUUUU